GCCUGGGUGGCUCAGUUGGUUAAGCAUCUGACUUCGGCUCAGGUCAUGAUCUCAAGGUUUGUGAGUUCGAGCCCCACGUCGGGCU
This 85-nucleotide transfer RNA is filed under the name Felis catus (domestic cat). It matches the Rfam family "tRNA". Rfam says of the family: Transfer RNA (tRNA) molecules are approximately 80 nucleotides in length. Their secondary structure includes four short double-helical elements and three loops (D, anti-codon, and T loops). Further hydrogen bonds mediate the characteristic L-shaped molecular structure. tRNAs have two regions of fundamental functional importance: the anti-codon, which is responsible for specific mRNA codon recognition, and the 3' end, to which the tRNAs corresponding amino acid is attached (by aminoacyl-tRNA synthetases). tRNAs cope with the degeneracy of the genetic code in two manners: having more than one tRNA (with a specific anti-codon) for a particular amino acid; and 'wobble' base-pairing, i.e. permitting non-standard base-pairing at the 3rd anti-codon position. Lineage: Eukaryota; Metazoa; Chordata; Mammalia; Carnivora; Felidae. RNAcentral also lists the same sequence under 3 other names. The record is from Rfam by way of RNAcentral.